This 497-nucleotide ribosomal RNA is filed under the name uncultured bacterium. RNAcentral describes it as "partial 16S ribosomal RNA". It matches the Rfam family "Bacterial small subunit ribosomal RNA", at positions 28 to 507 of the family's 1533-position model. The record is from RNAcentral.
GAUGAACGCUGGCGGCGUGCCUAAUACAUGCAAGUCGAGCGAACGGACGAGAAGCUUGCUUCUCUGAUGUUAGCGGCGGACGGGUGAGUAACACGUGGAUAACCUACCUAUAAGACUGGGAUAACUUCGGGAAACCGGAGCUAAUACCGGAUGAUAUUUUGAACCGCAUGGUUCAAAAGUGAAAGACGGUCUUGCUGUCACUUAUAGAUGGAUCCGCGCUGCAUUAGCUAGUUGGUAAGGUAACGGCUUACCAAGGCAACGAUGCUUAGCCGACCUGAGAGGGUGAUCGGCCACACUGGAACUGAGACACGGUCCAGACUCCUACGGGAGGCAGCAGUAGGGAAUCUUCCGCAAUGGGCGAAAGCCUGACGGAGCAACGCCGCGUGAGUGAUGAAGGUCUUCGGAUCGUAAAACUCUGUUAUUAGGGAAGAACAUAUGUGUAAGUAACUGUGCACAUCUUGACGGUACCUAAUCAGAAAGCCACAGCUAACUACGUG